UGGCGAACGGGUGAGUAACACGUGGGCAAUCUGCCCUUCACUCUGGGACAAGCCCUGGAAACGGGGUCUAAUACCGGAUACCACCGCGUGAGGCAUGUCUUGUGCUGGAAAGCUCCGGCGGUGAAGGAUGAGCCCGCGGCCUAUCAGCUUGUUGGUGGGGUAAUGGCCUACCAAGGCGACGACGGGUAGCCGGCCUGAGAGGGCGACCGGCCACACUGGGACUGAGACACGGCCCAGACUCCUACGGGAGGCAGCAGUGGGGAAUAUUGCACAAUGGGCGCAAGCCUGAUGCAGCGACGCCGCGUGAGGGAUGACGGCCUUCGGGUUGUAAACCUCUUUCAGCAGGGAAGAAGCGCAAGUGACGGUACCUGCAGAAGAAGCGCCGGCUAACUACGUGCCAGCAGCCGCGGUAAUACGUAGGGCGCAAGCGUUGUCCGGAAUUAUUGGGCGUAAAGAGCUCGUAGGCGGCUUGUCACGUCGGGUGUGAAAGCCCGGGGCUUAACCCCGGGUCUGCAUCCGAUACGGGCAGGCUAGAGUGUGGUAGGGGAGAUCGGAAUUCCUGGUGUAGCGGUGAAAUGCGCAGAUAUCAGGAGGAACACCGGUGGCGAAGGCGGAUCUCUGGGCCAUUACUGACGCUGAGGAGCGAAAGCGUGGGGAGCGAACAGGAUUAGAUACCCUGGUAGUCCACGCCGUAAACGUUGGGAACUAGGUGUUGGCGACAUUCCACGUCGUCGGUGCCGCAGCU
This 745-nucleotide ribosomal RNA is filed under the name Streptomyces sp. Its description in RNAcentral is "bacterial SSU rRNA". It matches the Rfam family "Bacterial small subunit ribosomal RNA", at positions 96 to 853 of the family's 1533-position model. The record is from RNAcentral. Lineage: Bacteria; Bacillati; Actinomycetota; Actinomycetes; Kitasatosporales; Streptomycetaceae.